AUGCAAGUCGCGUGCGCAGUUUCCGUAGCAAUACGGGGAUGGGCGCACGGCGCACGGGUGCGUAACACGUGGGCAAUCUGCCCUCCGAUGGGGAAUACCCCCGCGAAAGCGGGACUAAUUCCGCAUAACAUUCCUUGGAUUAACUUUCGAGGAUUCAAAGCAGCAAUGCGUCGGAGGAGGAGCCCGCGCCCGAUUAGCUAGUUGGUGAGGUAACGGCUCACCAAGGCAAUGAUCGGUAGCUGGUCUGAGAGGAUGGCCAGCCACACUGGAACUGAGACACGGUCCAGACUCCUACGGGAGGCAGCAGUGGGGAAUCUUGCACAAUGGGCGAAAGCCUGAUGCAGCGACGCCGCGUGGGGGAUGAAGCUUUUCGGAGUGUAAACCCCUUUCGACUGGGACGAAUGCCUCGCAAGAGGAGUGACGGUACCAAUAUAAGAAGCCCCGGCUAACUACGUGCCAGCAGCCGCGGUAAGACGUAGGGGGCCAGCGUUGUUCGGAAUUACUGGGUGUAAAGGGUUCGUAGGCGGUGUGGCAAGUCGGGAGUGAAAUCUCUGGGCUCAACCCAGAGACUGCUUCCGAAACUGCUGUGCUUGAGUGUGAGAGAGGCUCGUG
Molecule: ribosomal RNA, 612 nt
Filed under: uncultured soil bacterium
Lineage: Bacteria
Description: bacterial SSU rRNA
Rfam family: Bacterial small subunit ribosomal RNA
Source: RNAcentral